AUGCCAGGAUUGGAGCAAUCGAAAUGUUCUGCUUCAGAUUUAACACCUGUCACUCGGGAAGUGUUGAGUUCUGACAGCAAGGGUGAGAACACUCUAAAGGAUCCAAUAUACAGCAAACCAAACGGGAGAAUGAAGAAAACAGGGAGGCAGAAAAGUAUAGUAGAAGAAAUCAUAUCAAAGCCUAAAGUGACUUGUUCGGGGUGCAAGAAACAAGGACACAACAUUACAGGGUGCAAGCAAAUAGAACAAGAGUCGCCAGAAAAACCUCAAAAAACAGCCAGGAGAAAGAUUGCAAAGCAAUGUAAAGAGAAGACCGCAAAAAAAACAUAG
RNAcentral lists this ribosomal RNA (330 nucleotides) under Triticum aestivum (bread wheat). Its description in RNAcentral is "partial small subunit ribosomal RNA". The record is from RNAcentral. Lineage: Eukaryota; Viridiplantae; Streptophyta; Magnoliopsida; Poales; Poaceae.